CUCUCCUCACCUCUGAUCCCCUUCACAUCGGCUGUUCCCCUUCACAUCUGAUUUCAAUCUAAGCGUGGAACUACUCGGUGGGCUUCUGGCGAGAGAGAUGGCAGGGGAGGACGGUGGAAUUGUCCCAUGCAAUGCAAGAGUCCACGUCAAUGGCGUUACCGGGGACUACAUGCUUUUUGAAGCCUAUGGACGCAAGUACUCUGUUGACAUUGUGAAGGGGGCACACAGGACCAGGAUCAAAGGGAGUGGCUGGAAGAAAUUUACUUCUGACUUUUCACUUCGGAAGGGUGCUGUCGUUAUUUUUGACAUGGACAAGCGUCCCCGACAGGCAUAUGCUGUUGUUCACAUUGUUGACUCGGACACAGUUGAAGGAAGCACUUCAGACGGUGAUGCUAAAGAAGAGAUGAUAGAUGGAGACAUGUCAGAUGUGGAUGAAGACGGUGACAACAUAAAGAUCGAGUAUACAAGGGGUCUAACUCUGAAUGAUGCAUAGUAGGACUUUCUCAAUGAACUUGUGCUCAGCUUCAAGUCCAAGUUUUUAGGAGUGUCUUUUGUACACUGUCUUACUACAACCGACACUCAAGUUGGACAAAUGAAAGUGCCAGAGAGGGUUGCUACAAGCUUGAACAUCCCUAAAGAAGGGCUGGCUGGGGUUCGUCUAAGCAGUGGGGAGGCAAAGACUCGCGUUGAAUACAACACGUCUACUGAUGGACGUAUAGCCUUCAACAAAAAACAAUGGAGGCGUUUCCUUUCAAAGACUCCCUUGGAGACCAAUGACUGCAUCUUCAUGUUCUUCAAGGCCAGUAGCAAGUCUUGCAUGAACGUUACCGUUGUUGUCAGCAAGCUUUAAGUUUCACUUUCUUUUCGAGGAGAUAUGUUCCUAGUUAUGUAGUAUGCUGAUGCAAAACAUUGCUACCCGUCUUUUGUUUAUGCGCUUGACAAGAACUAAGUAAACCCCCCUCCUCGUUUUACGAUGUUUUACUAUUUAUGUGUGUUUUCAAAACUAUGUGGAAUAUGCAUUUGUCGUAAUGAUAAGUGUUGUUAUAUAUUUUUCAUCAGUAUGUUUUUUAGGAGUAAAUAACGAGAAUUGUGCAAGCAAGAUUCAUAAGUUCAUUAAAUUUUCAUUGCUUUUUUUUGCAGGCACUAACCUGAGAACCAAACAGAGAAGCUCCAUAAGCAUCAAAAAUUGCUGCAAUCAAGGUCAAUACUUUUUUUGUCAGGUAUAUGAAGGAUGCAACACCUACAGAGAAAGCUCCAUGUCUUUUUAUCAGCAAAUUUCUUUUUUUGUGUUUCCUUUUGUGAUUUUUCAUAACAGUAACACUGAAGAAUCAAAGUUCAAGAUAGUUCAAGAACAGAAAGAAGAAACCUAGAUCUGGAGGGGGGAG
Molecule: long non-coding RNA, 1385 nt
Organism: Triticum aestivum (bread wheat)
Lineage: Eukaryota; Viridiplantae; Streptophyta; Magnoliopsida; Poales; Poaceae
Exons: 3
Source: RefSeq, a predicted model, not a curated record